AUCGCUUCUCGGCCUUUUGGCUAAGAUCAAGUGUAGAAGUCCUUUACUGUCUCAGUCUCUGAGCUUUUUUUUUUGCAUUAGUGGGGAUUGAACCCAUGGCUGGCUUUGACAUUGAAAUACACCCCCAGCCCCUUUUC
This 137-nucleotide small nuclear RNA is filed under the name Heterocephalus glaber (naked mole-rat). Its description in RNAcentral is "U2 spliceosomal RNA". It matches the Rfam family "U2 spliceosomal RNA". Rfam says of the family: U2 is a small nuclear RNA (snRNA) component of the spliceosome (involved in pre-mRNA splicing). Complementary binding between U2 snRNA (in an area lying towards the 5' end but 3' to hairpin I) and the branchpoint sequence (BPS) of the intron results the bulging out of an unpaired adenosine, on the BPS, which initiates a nucleophilic attack at the intronic 5' splice site, thus starting the first of two transesterification reactions that mediate splicing. Lineage: Eukaryota; Metazoa; Chordata; Mammalia; Rodentia; Bathyergidae. The record is from Rfam by way of RNAcentral.